Molecule: long non-coding RNA, 310 nt
Filed under: Ananas comosus (pineapple)
Lineage: Eukaryota; Viridiplantae; Streptophyta; Magnoliopsida; Poales; Bromeliaceae
Description: long non-coding RNA (ACOM_LNC024546)
Source: RNAcentral
AAUAUGACCUCCUGCGGUUUAGUAUAUUUUCAGUUUAGUAUUCUAUAAUUUGAAACAUUUCGCUUUGUUAUUCAAUAAUUUUAUUUUUAUCUUACUGUUAAGACUUGUCAUUAUGUAGAGUACUAAAAUGAUAAAAUUUAUAAAUCACAAGAUAAUAAAUUAAUAUAUUUUACAAAUCACAUGAUGAUAAAUAAUAGUAUUUUACCAACCUAUAUUUUCAUAUAGCUACUUUGUGAUCUGUAAAAUAUAUCAAUUUUGUACUCUAUUUAACGGCACGUCAUAACAGUAAGAUAAGAAUAGAAAAGUAAAA